RNAcentral lists this ribosomal RNA (222 nucleotides) under uncultured bacterium. RNAcentral's name for it is "partial 16S ribosomal RNA". It matches the Rfam family "Bacterial small subunit ribosomal RNA", at positions 15 to 219 of the family's 1533-position model. The record is from RNAcentral.
GAUCCUGGCUCAGGAUGAACGCUGGCGGCGUGCCUGACACAUGCAAGUCGAGCGAAGCACUUUGCUUAGAUUCUUCGGAUGAAGAGGAUUGUGACUGAGCGGCGGACGGGUGAGUAACGCGUGGGUAACCUGCCUCAUACAGGGGGAUAACAGUUAGAAAUGACUGCUAAUACCGCAUAAGACUACAGCACCGCAUGGUGCGGGGGUAAAAACUCCGGUGGU